GAUUAUGUAUCUUGUUGAUUUUUAGUUUUUUAAAGAGGUUAUGAGUGAAAAAUAAUUUUUUGUAAAGGAUAAGUAAUUUUUAAUGAAAAAAAAUAUAAACUAUAAAUAAAAGUACUGUGAAGGAAAGAGAAAUAAAAAAAUAAAAAAUAAAGAAAAAAUUAAAUUUUGUACCUUGUGUAUAAGGGAGGAUUUAUAUAGUUAAAGUAACAUUAGGAUCUCGAAAAAGAAAUAGCUAAUUUUGUAAAAGAGUUUUUAUAGGAUAAAAAUUUUAAAUAUAAAAUUAGAGAUGAGAUGUUAAACGAGUUUUGUUAUAUCUAGUUUUUUAAAAGGGGAAUUAAAUUUGGUUUUUAUUAUAUAUAAUAACAUAAAAGUAUAAAAUAGAAAGGGUAAGCUUUUUAUUGUAGAAGAUGAAAUAGAAAAAUAAAUUUAAUGGAAAAUAAUCUAAGCUUAAAAGUAGCUAAGUUUUUAAAGUGUUUUAACUAAAUUAUCAGAAAUAAAAAUUUUAUUUUCUUUUCUUUAAUAUUAAAGAUUUAUUAAAAAUAUAGAAUAAUAAGAUAAAAUGAUUUUAUUAGUAGAAAAUUUAAUUGUAGGAAAUAAGUGAAGAAUGUAGAUUAAAAGUAUUAAAAAAAUAAGGUAGGGUAAAGGAAUUCAGUAAAAUAUUUUCUUGCCUGUUUAUCAAAAACAUGUCUAUUUGGAGUUAUAAAAAGUCUAGCCUGCCCGCUGAUUUGAUAAAGUGGAUUUAAGGGCCGCGGUAUUAUGACCGUGCAAAGGUAGCAUAAUCAUUAGGUUUUUAAAUGGGAUCUUGUAUGAAUGGUUGGACAAAGGAGAAGCUGUCUUUAAGAUAAAUAUUUAAUUUUACUUUUAAGUGAGAAGGCUUAAAUAUUUUAGGGGGACGAUAAGACCCUAUAAAGCUUUACAUUAUAAUUAUAUUUGAUUAAAUUUAAAUAAUAAAAAUUUAAUGUAGUUAUUUGUUUUGUUGGGGAGACAAGAGUAAAAAUUAUAUUAACUACUCAACAAAUAAACAUUUAUUGAUGUGUUUAAAGUUUAAAGAUCCUAUUUGUGUAUAGAUUAAAAGAUUAAGUUACUUUAGGGAUAACAGUGCCAUUUUUUUUAAGAGUUCAUAUCGAAAAAAAUAGUUUACAACCUCGAUGUUGAAUUAAAAUGUCUUUAUAAUGUAGCUGUUAUAUAAGAAGGUCUGUUCGACCUUUAAUUUUUU
RNAcentral lists this ribosomal RNA (1216 nucleotides) under Ceylonthelphusa soror. RNAcentral describes it as "partial 16S ribosomal RNA". Lineage: Eukaryota; Metazoa; Arthropoda; Malacostraca; Decapoda; Parathelphusidae. The record is from RNAcentral.